AUUGAACGCUGGCGGCAGGCCUAACACAUGCAAGUCGAACGAGUGGCGGACGGGUGAUUAAUGACUGGGAAACUGACCGAUGGCCGGGGAUAACUACUGGAAACGGUAGCUAAUACCGAAUCACAACAGAUGUGCCAAGAUGGGAUUAGCUAGUAGGUGGGGUAACGGCUCACCUAGGCGACGAUCCUUAGCUGGUCUGAGAGGAUGACCAGCCACACUGGUACUGAGACACGGUCCCAACGCCGACGGGAGGCAGCAGUGGGGAAGAUUGCACGAUGGGGGAAACCCUGUUCCAGCCAUCCCGCGUGAACCAUGAAGGCCUUCGGGUUGUAAAGCACUUUUGGCAGUAAAGCUGUACCUGCAUAAUAAGCACCGGCUAACUACGUGCCAGCAGCCGCGGUAAUAC
This 406-nucleotide ribosomal RNA is filed under the name uncultured bacterium. Its description in RNAcentral is "partial 16S ribosomal RNA". It matches the Rfam family "Bacterial small subunit ribosomal RNA", at positions 30 to 526 of the family's 1533-position model. The record is from RNAcentral.